This 1221-nucleotide ribosomal RNA is filed under the name Triticum aestivum (bread wheat). Its description in RNAcentral is "partial small subunit ribosomal RNA". The record is from RNAcentral. Lineage: Eukaryota; Viridiplantae; Streptophyta; Magnoliopsida; Poales; Poaceae.
AUGUCUCGCGCUUCUUGGCUCCUGACGUGCUCCCCCUGCGCCGGGCUCGCGUCGCUAGCCGCGCUCACCACCGGCCUGCUGAUACUCGGAUAUGCGUCGAGCUCCUUCCUCAGGGGUGCGGCGUAUGGGUACGAUGACCCCUACAGCCCGGACGCCGCCGACGCGGCGUCGACGGCACCGCCGGCGACCGUGCCAAGGCGCGGGGACGGGUACCCGCCGGUGCUCGCGUACUACAUCUCCGGCGGGCACGGCGACUCCGUUAGGAUGACGCGGCUGCUCAAGGCCGUGUACCACCCGAGGAACCGGUACCUGCUGCACCUGGACGCCGGCGCGGGCGCGUACGAGCGGGCGAGGCUGGCCGGCUACGUCAGGUCGGAGCAGCCGUUCCUCGAGUAUGGCAACGUGCACGUCGUCGGCAAGGGGAGCCCCGUCGACGGCCGCGGCGCGUCCGCCGUCGCCGCCGUGCUCCGCGGCGCCUCCAUUCUCAUGAGGCUUGGCGCCGACUGGGACUGGCUCGUCACACUCGCCGCCUCGGACUACCCGCUCGUAUCGCAGGACGACCUUCUCUACGCCUUCUCCACCGUGCCGAGGGACCUCAACUUCAUCGACCACAGGAUGGACUCCGAGACCGCGCCGAUGGUCGUUCUGGACCAGAAUCUCCUGCAGAACACCAACGCCGAGAUCUCCUUCUCGUCGGGGCACCGUCCAAAGCCUGAUGCGUUCGAGCUUUUCAAAGGUUCUCCCUGGACGAUACUGAGCCGGGCCUUCGUAGAGCACUGCGUGGUGGCGCCCGACAACCUCCCGAGGACGCUGCUCAUGUACUUCAGCAACGCCCUGAACCCCAUGGAGUUCUACUUCCAGACGGUCAUGGCCAACUCGGCGCGCUUCAAGAACAGCACCGUCAAUCACACCUUCCGGACCGCCGUCCCGGACGCCGCGCCGCCUCACCGGUCGCGGUACGACGCCGUGGUGAGCAGCGGCGCGGCCUUCGCGGGCCGGUUCGCUGACGACGGCGACGAGGCGCUGCUGCAGAGGAUAGAUGAGGAGCUGCUCAGGCGACCGCUCGACGGCGUCACGCCGGGACAGUGGUGCGCCGGCAGCGACGAGGAGGCCGCGGGCGAGGAGUGCUCCGUCGGGGGCGACAUUGACGUUGUCAGGCAGGGCGAGGCGGGACAGAGGCUGGCGAGCUUGAUGGCCGGCCUUGUCGGGGCCGGACCGUGA